This 245-nucleotide ribosomal RNA is filed under the name uncultured bacterium. RNAcentral's name for it is "partial small subunit ribosomal RNA". It matches the Rfam family "Bacterial small subunit ribosomal RNA", at positions 26 to 285 of the family's 1533-position model. The record is from RNAcentral.
AGAAUCAACGCUGGCGGCGUGCCUAACACGUGCAAGUCGCACGAGAAAGGGGCUUCGGCUCUGAGUAAAGUGGCGCACGGGUGGGUAACACGUGAAUAAUCUACCUCCGAGUGGGGAAUAACUGAGAGAAAUCUUAGCUAAUACCGCAUAACACUUACGAGUCAAAGCAGCAAUGCGCUUGGAGAGGAGUUCGCGGCCGAUUAGUUAGUUGGCGGGGUAAUGGCCCACCAAGACGAUGAUCGGUA